UACGUAGGCAGCAAGCGUUGUUCGGAGUUACUGGGCGUAAAGGGUGUGUAGGCGGUUUUUUAAGUUUGGUGUGAAAUCUCCCGGCUCAACUGGGAGGGUGCGCCGAAUACUGAAAGACUAGAGUGCGGGAGAGGAAAGUGGAAUUCCUGGUGUAGCGGUGGAAUGCGUAGAUAUCAGGAGGAACACCGGUGGUGUAGACGGCUUUCUGGACCGUAACUGACGCUGAGACACGAAAGCGUGGGUAGCAAACAGG
RNAcentral lists this ribosomal RNA (253 nucleotides) under uncultured bacterium. Its description in RNAcentral is "partial 16S ribosomal RNA". It matches the Rfam family "Bacterial small subunit ribosomal RNA", at positions 524 to 776 of the family's 1533-position model. The record is from RNAcentral.